GAGUUUGAUCAUGGCUCAGGACGAACGCUGGCGGCGUGCCUAAUACAUGCAAGUCGAGCGGGUCUUCAUUAGCUUGCUUUUGAAGAUCAGCGGCGGACGGGUGAGUAACACGUGGGCAACCUGCCUGUAAGACUGGGAUAACUUCGGGAAACCGGAGCUAAUACCGGAUAAUCCUUUUCCUCUCAUGAGGAAAAGCUGAAAGACGGUUUCGGCUGUCACUUACAGAUGGGCCCGCGGCGCAUUAGCUAGUUGGUGAGGUAACGGCUCACCAAGGCGACGAUGCGUAGCCGACCUGAGAGGGUGAUCGGCCACACUGGGACUGAGACACGGCCCAGACUCCUACGGGAGGCAGCAGUAGGGAAUCUUCCGCAAUGGACGAAAGUCUGACGGAGCAACGCCGCGUGAGCGAUGAAGGCCUUCGGGUCGUAAAGCUCUGUUGUCAGGGAAGAACAAGUAUCGGAGUAACUGCCGGUACCUUGACGGUACCUGACCAGAAAGCCACGGCUAACUACGUGCCAGCAGCCGCGGUAAUACGUAGGUGGCAAGCGUUGUCCGGAAUUAUUGGGCGUAAAGCGCGCGCAGGCGGUUCCUUAAGUCUGAUGUGAAAGCCCCCGGCUCAACCGGGGAGGGUCAUUGGAAACUGGGGAACUUGAGUGCAGAAGAGGAGAGCGGAAUUCCACGUGUAGCGGUGAAAUGCGUAGAGAUGUGGAGGAACACCAGUGGCGAAGGCGGCUCUCUGGUCUGUAACUGACGCCGAGGCGCGAAAGCGUGGGGAGCGAACAGGAUUAGAUACCCUGGUAGUCCACGCCGUAAACGAUGAGUGCUAAGUGUUAGAGGGUUUCCGCCCUUUAGUGCUGCAGCAAACGCAUUAAGCACUCCGCCUGGGGAGUACGGCCGCAAGGCUGAAACUCAAAGGAAUUGACGGGGGCCCGCACAAGCGGUGGAGCAUGUGGUUUAAUUCGAAGCAACGCGAAGAACCUUACCAGGUCUUGACAUCCUCUGACAACCCUAGAGAUAGGGCGUUCCCCUUCGGGGGACAGAGUGACAGGUGGUGCAUGGUUGUCGUCAGCUCGUGUCGUGAGAUGUUGGGUUAAGUCCCGCAACGAGCGCAACCCUUGAUCUUAGUUGCCAGCAUUAAGUUGGGCACUCUAAGGUGACUGCCGGUGACAAACCGGAGGAAGGUGGGGAUGACGUCAAAUCAUCAUGCCCCUUAUGACCUGGGCUACACACGUGCUACAAUGGAUGGAACAAAGGGCAGCGAAGCCGCGAGGUGAAGCCAAUCCCAUAAAACCAUUCUCAGUUCGGAUUGCAGGCUGCAACUCGCCUGCAUGAAGCCGGAAUCGCUAGUAAUCGCGGAUCAGCAUGCCGCGGUGAAUACGUUCCCGGGCCUUGUACACACCGCCCGUCACACCACGAGAGUUUGUAACACCCGAAGUCGGUGGGGUAACCUUUUGGAGCUAGCCGCCUAAGGUGGGACAGAUGAUUGGGGUGAAGUCGUAACAAGG
RNAcentral lists this ribosomal RNA (1505 nucleotides) under uncultured Bacillus sp. RNAcentral's name for it is "bacterial SSU rRNA". It matches the Rfam family "Bacterial small subunit ribosomal RNA". Lineage: Bacteria; Bacillati; Bacillota; Bacilli; Caryophanales; Bacillaceae. The record is from RNAcentral.